Cyprinus carpio (common carp) is the source of this 405-nucleotide long non-coding RNA. RefSeq lists it as uncharacterized. NCBI's taxonomy places the organism in Eukaryota, Metazoa, Chordata, Actinopteri, Cypriniformes, Cyprinidae. The transcript has 3 exons. The record is from RefSeq and is a predicted model, not a curated record.
CUGGAUAAAACAACAAACUGUGUCCAUCUUCAUUUCAGACUGUAAAGCAACAAAAUGAGCAGGACAAGAGAUCUAUUGACUGAUUGUGACUGAUUGAUUGUGACUAAAGCACUAUGGUGAACCCAACAGCCCACUGUUCACUACUGCCACCUGUGAAGUCAAAUGUCAGCAUACGGGGACCAGUCACUGAGCUAAUUUACAUCUGUGCCUUUACCAGGCCAUAAAAUGCAUCCACCAGAUCUGCGUUGGGACACGACUCACUGCAGGCCCAGCGUGGAUCUCUGCAAACAGAUGCUCAGAUUUAGCAAUGAAACAAAUGUAGGCCUUACAUAUUCUUUUGCCUUACAUAUCCAAAAGAAGAUUUUAUUCGAACUCAUAAAAUGAAUAAUAAAAAUGCAGAAUAAA